UACGUAGGCAGCGAGCGUUGUUCGGAGUUACUGGGCGUAAAGAGUGCGUAGGCGGUUUUCUAAGUUUGGGGUGAAAUCUCCCGGCUUAACUGGGAGGGUGCGCCGAAGACUGGAAGGCUUGAGUAUGGGAGAGGUAAGCGGAAUUCCUGGUGUAGCGGUGAAAUGCGUAGAUAUCAGGAGGAACACCUGUGGUGUAGACGGCUUACUGGACCAUGACUGACGCUGAGGCACGAAAGCGUGGGGAGCAAACAGG
This 253-nucleotide ribosomal RNA is filed under the name uncultured bacterium. Its description in RNAcentral is "partial 16S ribosomal RNA". It matches the Rfam family "Bacterial small subunit ribosomal RNA", at positions 524 to 776 of the family's 1533-position model. The record is from RNAcentral.